ACUUAAGCAUAUCAAUAAGCGGAGGAAAAGAAACUAACAAGGAUUCCCCUAGUAACUGCGAGUGAAGCGGGAAAAGCUCAAAUUUAAAAUCUGGCAGUCUUUGAUUGUCCGAGUUGUAAUCUAGAGAAGCAUUAUCCGCGCUGGACCGUGUACAAGUCUCCUGGAAUGGAGCGUCAUAGAGGGUGAGAAUCCCGUCUUUGACACGGACUGCCAGGGCUUUGUGAUGUGCUCUCAAAGAGUCGAGUUGUUUGGGAAUGCAGCUCAAAAUGGGUGGUAAAUUCCAUCUAAAGCUAAAUAUUGGCGAGAGACCGAUAGCGAACAAGUACCGUGAGGGAAAGAUGAAAAGAACUUUGGAAAGAGAGUUAAACAGUACGUGAAAUUGCUGAAAGGGAAACGCUUGAAGUCAGUCGCGUUGGCCGGGAAUCAACCUUGCUUUUGCUGGGCGUACUUCCUGGUUAACGGGUCAGCAUCAAUUUUGACCGUUGGAUAAAGUUGUUGGGAAUGUGGCAUCUUCGGAUGUGUUAUAGCCCAGUUUCGUAUACAACGGUUGGGAUUGAGGAACUCAGCACGCCGCAAGGCCGGGUUUUUAACCACGUUCGUGCUUAGGAUGCUGGCAUAAUGGCUUUAAUCGACCCGUCUUGAAACACGGACCAAGGAGUCUAACAUGCCUGCGAGUGUUUGGGUGGAAAACCCGAGCGCGUAAUGAAAGUGAAAGUUGAGAUCCCUGUCGUGGGGAGCAUCGACGCCCGGACUUGAACUUUUGUGACGGAUCCGCGGUAGAGCAUGUAUGUUGGGACCCGAAAGAUGGUGAACUAUGCCUGAAUAGGGUGAAGCCAGAGGAAACUCUGGUGGAGGCUCGUAGCGAUUCUGACGUGCAAAUCGAUCGUCAAAUUUGGGUAUAGGGGCGAAAGACUAA
RNAcentral lists this ribosomal RNA (916 nucleotides) under Panaeolus subbalteatus. Its description in RNAcentral is "LSU rRNA". It matches the Rfam family "Eukaryotic large subunit ribosomal RNA", at positions 32 to 934 of the family's 3401-position model. The record is from RNAcentral. Lineage: Eukaryota; Fungi; Basidiomycota; Agaricomycetes; Agaricales.